UGAGGAAUAUUGGUCAAUGGGCGGAAGCCUGAACCAGCCAAGUAGCGUGCAGGAUGACGGCCCUACGGGUUGUAAACUGCUUUUAUACGGGAAUAACGCGCCUUACGUGUAGGGCUUUGCAUGUACCGUAUGAAUAAGGACCGGCUAAUUCCGUGCCAGCAGCCGCGGUAAUACGGAAGGUCCGGGCGUUAUCCGGAUUUAUUGGGUUUAAAGGGAGCGUAGGCCGCAUGUCAAGCGUGCUGUGAAAUGUCCGGGCUCAACCCGGGCCUUGCAGCGCGAACUGGCGUGCUUGAGUCCGCGGAAAGCAGGCGGAAUUCGUCGUGUAGCGGUGAAAUGCUUAGAUAUGACGAAGAACCCCGAUUGCGAAGGCAGCUUGCUGCAGCGGAACUGACGCUGAUGCUCGAAAGCGCGGGUAUCGAACA
Molecule: ribosomal RNA, 422 nt
Filed under: uncultured Prevotella sp.
Lineage: Bacteria; Pseudomonadati; Bacteroidota; Bacteroidia; Bacteroidales; Prevotellaceae
Description: bacterial SSU rRNA
Rfam family: Bacterial small subunit ribosomal RNA
Source: RNAcentral